RNAcentral lists this ribosomal RNA (740 nucleotides) under uncultured bacterium. RNAcentral's name for it is "bacterial SSU rRNA". It matches the Rfam family "Bacterial small subunit ribosomal RNA", at positions 8 to 794 of the family's 1533-position model. The record is from RNAcentral.
AGAGUUUGAUCCUGGCUCAGAACGAACGCUGGCGGCAGGCCUAACACAUGCAAGUCGAGCGCACCCUUCGGGGCGAGCGGCGGACGGGUUAGUAACGCGUGGGAACGUACCCUUGUCUACGGAAUAGCCAUUGGAAACGAUGAGUAAUACCGUAUACGCCCUUCGGGGGAAAGAUUUAUCGGACAAGGAUCGGCCCGCGUUAGAUUAGAUAGUUGGUGGGGUAAUGGCCUACCAAGUCUACGAUCUAUAGCUGGUUUUAGAGGAUGAUCAGCAACACUGGGACUGAGACACGGCCCAGACUCCUACGGGAGGCAGCAGUGGGGAAUCUUAGACAAUGGGCGCAAGCCUGAUCUAGCCAUGCCGCGUGUGUGAUGAAGGCCUUAGGGUCGUAAAGCACUUUCGCCAGGGAUGAUAAUGACAGUACCUGGUAAAGAAACCCCGGCUAACUCCGUGCCAGCAGCCGCGGUAAUACGGAGGGGGUUAGCGUUGUUCGGAAUUACUGGGCGUAAAGCGUACGUAGGCGGAUCAGAAAGUAGGGGGUGAAAUCCCGAGGCUCAACCUCGGAACUGCCUCCUAAACUCCUGGUCUUGAGUUCGAGAGAGGUGAGUGGAAUUCCAAGUGUAGAGGUGAAAUUCGUAGAUAUUUGGAGGAACACCAGUGGCGAAGGCGGCUCACUGGCUCGAUACUGACGCUGAGGUACGAAAGUGUGGGGAGCAAACAGGAUUAGAUACCCUGGUAGU